This 301-nucleotide ribosomal RNA is filed under the name uncultured bacterium. RNAcentral's name for it is "partial 16S ribosomal RNA". It matches the Rfam family "Bacterial small subunit ribosomal RNA", at positions 509 to 809 of the family's 1533-position model. The record is from RNAcentral.
CAGCAGCCACGGUAAUACGUAGGUGGCAAGCGUUGUCCGGAAUUAUUGGGCGUAAAGGGCUCGCAGGCGGUUUCUUAAGUCUGAUGUGAAAGCCCCCGGCUCAACCGGGGAGGGUCAUUGGAAACUGGGAAACUUGAGUGCAGAAGAGGAGAGUGGAAUUCCACGUGUAGCGGUGAAAUGCGUAGAGAUGUGGAGGAACACCAGUGGCGAAGGCGACUCUCUGGUCUGUAACUGACGCUGAGGAGCGAAAGCGUGGGGAGCGAACAGGAUUAGAUACCCGUGUAGUCCCUGUCUCUUAUAA